This 889-nucleotide ribosomal RNA is filed under the name uncultured Methanosaeta sp. Its description in RNAcentral is "bacterial SSU rRNA". It matches the Rfam family "Archaeal small subunit ribosomal RNA", at positions 18 to 907 of the family's 1478-position model. Lineage: Archaea; Methanobacteriati; Methanobacteriota; Methanomicrobia; Methanotrichales; Methanotrichaceae. The record is from RNAcentral.
CAGAGGUUACUGCUAUCKMGRWUCGACUAAGCCAUGCGAGUUGAAUGUUCUUCGUGAACAUGGCGGACUGCUCAGUAACACGUGGACAACCUACCCUUGGGUCCGGCAUAAUCCUGGGAAACUGGGAAUAAUUCCGGAUAGGUCACCGAUGCUGGAAUGCGCGGUGGCCGAAAGCUCCGGCGCCCGAGGAUGGGUCUGCGGCCUAUCAGGGUUGUAGUGGGUGUAACGUACCUACUAGCCUACGACGGGUACGGGUUGUGAGAGCAAGAGCCCGGAGAUGGAUUCUGAGACACGAAUCCAGGCCCUACGGGGUGCAGCAGGCGCGAAAACUUUACAAUGCGGGAAACCGUGAUAAGGGGAUCUCGAGUGCCAGCAUAUAAUGUUGGCUGUCCAGAUGCCUAAAAAGCAUCUGUUAGCAAGGGCCGGGCAAGACCGGUGCCAGCCGCCGCGGUAACACCGGCGGCCCGAGUGGUAACCGCUAUUAUUGGGUCUAAAGGGUCUGUAGCCGGCCAGGUAAGUCCCUUGGGAAAUCUGGCAGCUCAACUGUCAGGCUGCUAGGGGAUACUGUUUGGCUUGGGACCGGGAGAGGUGAGAGGUACCUUGGGGGUAGGGGUGAAAUCUUGUGAUCCUCGAGGGACCACCAGUGGCGAAGGCGUCUCACCAGAACGGGUCCGACGGUAAGGGACGAAAGCUAGGGGCACGAACCGGAUUAGAUACCCGGGUAGUCCUAGCCGUAAACGAUGCUCGCUAGGUGUCAGUCACGGUGCGACCGUGAUUGGUGCCGUAGGGAAGCCGUGAAGCGAGCCACCUGGGAAGUAUGGCCGCAAGGCUGAAACUUAAAGGAAUUGGCGGGGAGMRCRCUWCARCSKKUGGAGCCUGCGGUUUAAUG